AAGCUCGUGAGCGACGUGUCCCUGUUUUCUCUGAGAGACUUGGCCAGUGAGGUUUGCUGAGAGAAAACCAAUAGUGUUCAUCUGAACGGUCUGAAUAUCAGUGGAAGAAAGAAGAUCUAGUAGAAUGUGGCUUAUAGUGUUAUUACUGACAGAGACGUUGCAUACAGAAGCUUCACUGCAAACUUUUACAAUAGAUGAAGAAUCAGAGCCAGAGUUUUCUAAAGCAGUUCCAAACGUCACUGUAUCUGUUGGUCGUGAUGCGCAACUGCCGUGUGUCGUGGAUAACUUGGGAUCUUACGGGGUAGCCUGGUUGAGAGUUGAAAGUAAAACCAUCCUGACUAUCCGUCAUAACGUCAUAACCGGAAAUUACAGAAUAGAUCUGAGUCAUGGAGACCGAAGAAAUUGGAUUCUUCACAUCAAGAACGUUCAGGAAUCCGAUAGGGGAGGGUACAUGUGUCAGAUAAACACGUUUCCCAUGAAAAGCCAAGUAGGGUAUCUAGACGUUGUUGUACCCCCGGUAAUUAUUGACGCCGAGAGUGAUACUGACGUUUUGGCACGUGAAGGCUCAAACGUCACAAUGAAAUGUCGCGCUAAAGGCUAUCCAGUUCCCGAGAUUACGUGGAAGAGAGAAGAUGGUCAGCCUAUAUCUGUAGGUCUUUGGCAAAAUGACCUUGAUCAAGACAUCUCAUAUAAAGGAGAACUUCUGAAAGUGACUAAAGUUAGCAGACUGCACAUGGGUGCCUAUCUGUGUAUCGCGUCCAAUGGAGUACAACCUUCAAUAAGUCGACGAGUUGUUCUACACGUACACUUUACACCUAUGAUAUGGGUUCCAAAUCAACUAAUUGGUUCUCCCAUCGAAAAUGACGUCACACUGGAGUGUCAUACUGAAGCGUAUCCGUCGUCAAUCAACUACUGGCAGACUGAAAGAGGAGACAUGAUAGUGAGUGACCACAAAUACCGUGUCAAAGACGAACACAAAACGUACAAAGUUCACAUGAAACUCAUUAUCUUGAAUAUUCAGCCAGAUGAUUUUGGAACUUAUAAGUGCCACGCCAGAAAUUCCUUAGGUUCCACAGAAGGCAACAUUCGUAUCUACGGUGUGUUCUGUAUUAAACGUAUAUUUGUUCAACAACAACAACAAAAUAUGUCUAUUUUUUGUAUGAUGUAAAGCUCGUGGUAACAAAAAAGCCCAUACUUAAAAUCGUAAGAAAUAUUUAAUCUAGAGUAACACAGUUUUAUCAAGGCACAUUGAGAACUAUAAAGGAAAGUGUGGAUACAGUACAAGGAGUUUCGAAACGUAAUUAAACUACAGCAUUAUUUUUAUUUGUUUUCUUUCUCUCCCUCUUUCUUUCAACAAUAUAAGAUUGUUCAUUGGAAUAAAAUGCAUUUUAGUUCGUGGUGUAUUGCGAUGAUCAAUGAAUACUGUCCAGAUCAGAUGAUGCUUGUGGUAACUCUGUUGAUAUGCUGUCUGUCAGUAUUUGAAACAUACUGUAUCAUAUCCAAGCUUACUUUACUACAAUUUAUGAUUCUCAAUAUUGCCCUGGUGAAACUUACUUUCUAUAUAAUCGCCUUAUAUAAUAUUUGAAAAACUGUUAAUAUAUUAAAAAUUAAAAGC
This 1615-nucleotide unclassified non-coding RNA is filed under the name Limulus polyphemus (Atlantic horseshoe crab). RNAcentral describes it as "lachesin-like, transcript variant X2". Lineage: Eukaryota; Metazoa; Arthropoda; Merostomata; Xiphosura; Limulidae. The record is from RNAcentral.